CAGGCUCCAGGCUCUGAGCUGUCAGCACAGAGCCUGACAUGGGGCUCAAACCUACAAACUGUGAGAUCAUGACCUAAGCUGAAGUUGGUUGCUCAACUGACUGAGCCACCCAGACACCCCAGUCUGUGUGUUGUUUCUUUAGAUCUGAAGGGAAUCUCUUGUAGGCAGCCAUUUUUUUUUUAAACCCAGUCACCCUAUGUUUUUUGAUUGGAGUAUUUAAUUAACAUUUAAAAUAAUUAUUGACAGGUAUGUGCUUAUUACCAUUUUUCUGUUUUCUGGUUGUUUUUGUAGUUUCUUCCUCUUGCUCUCUUCCCUUGUGGUUUGAUGGCUUUCUUUAGUCUUCUGCUUGGAUUCCUCUUUACUUUUUGUGUAUCUAUUAUAGGUUUUAAGUUUGUGAUUACCAUGAGGUUCAUAUACAGCAGUCUAUUUUCAGUUGAUGUUUAAGUUUGCACACUGAAAGCACUACAUUUUUAUUCUUUCCCCAAGUUUUAUGUAUAUGGUGUCGUAUUUUACAUUUUUAUUUUGUGUAAUUACUAGAAAUAUAACUGAUUUUACUAUUUCUUUUAAAUGUCCUAUUAGUCUUACAAGUGAUUGCUCUAUUAUAUUGUAUGUUUGCUUUUACUAGAGACUUAUUUUCUGUUUUCUCUUUAUGAUUUUCUUCUAGUUGGCAUUUUCUUAUCUACUUAAAGAAUUGCCUUUAACAUUUCUUGCAAAGACCAUUUAGGGAUGAUGAACUCUCAAUUUUAAGUUUUGUCUGAGAAAACCUCUCUCCUUGAAUUCUGAGUAACUCUGCCAGACACAGUAUUCUUGGUUGUAGGCUUUUUCCUUUCAGCACUUUGAAUAUAUCAUGACACCACUUUAUUCAGGCCUUCAAUGUCUUUGCUAUAAAAAAAAAAAAAAAAAAUCACCUGAUAGCAUUAGGGGGGUUCCCUUGUAUGGAAUCAGUUGCUUUUCUCUUACUGCUUUUAAGAUUCUCUUGUUAAUUUUUGACCUUUUUAUUACUAAGUGCUUUAGUGUGGACAUCAUUGGGUUCAUCUUGUUUGGGGCUCUGUGUGCUUCCUGGACAUCUAUUUCCUUCCCCUGAUUAGGAAAAUUUUCAGCUAUUUCUUCAGAUUUUCUGCCUCUCUCUUCUCCUUCUGGGACUCUGAUACUAUGAAUAUUAGUAUACUUGAUGUUGUCCUAGUUGAUGUUUUAAAAAUCCUCACGUUUAAAAAUUCCUUUUCUGUUCAGCUUGGAUGGUUUCCACUACCUUGUCUUCCAGGUCACUGAUCUAUUCUGCUGUAUCCUCUAAUCUAGUAGCAGAUUCUUUUUCACUUCAUUUAUUAUAUUCUUCAUCUCUAAUUGGUUCUUUUUUAUAUUUUCUCUUUUUCUGAGUUUAUACAACCCCUUUCUAGUUCAGUGAGCAUCUUUAUAACCAUUACUUUGAACUCUCAGGUAGACUGCUUGUUGUGGUUUUAUUUAGUUCUUUUUAUGAGGUUUUCUUUUGUUCUUUCAUUUAGAAUAAACUCUUGCCUUCUCAUUCUGUUGACUCUGCUUUUCUCUUUGCAUUACAUCAGUUACGACUCCCGGCCUUGCAAGCAGUGGCCUUGUGUAGAAGUGUCCUGUGGGGCCAAGCAGCAUAAUCCUACCCACCCCACCAGGUCACCAGAACCAAGUACCCCAGGGACGUGCCAGGUGGGCUGUGUGUGCCCUCCUGUUGUGACUGUGCUGCAACUGCUGCGGGCACGCUGGGUGGGGCUGGGAUGCAGUCCCAGCCAGAGCUGUCCAAGGUGUGGUGGGGCGGUGGUUGCUUUGCGGGUUCACCAGUCCCAAACAAGGCUGACCACAGGGUAUGGCAGAGCAGGUGCCGAUUAAGAAGGGCACCUGCCUGAACUAGCAGGUUGGGUGGGGUGGCUCAGACAAGGAAUGCCAAGGCGGGGUGAGCUGUGCUAGCAAGCUAGUUGGAGAGGGUCAGACUUGGCUUUCAUCAGCAUCAGGCCAGCUAGGCUGGAGAAGGGCAAGAAAAAUGGCACCUGCUACACUCCCAGUCCUGGAGAAAGUUUCUACAGAUCCUUGCCCCUCCAGCACAAACCCUAAAAUUAGCCAAUAAAUCUAUUCCUGUAUAUUCCAGAUGCUUUUCAAACUGCUGCCUCUCUGCUGGAUCUUAGAGUUAGUAAUAGAGUGUGCUGGUCCUGUAAGAGUACUCUGUUUCUUAAUGGCACCCUGGCUCUGCUGGAAUAAAGCCCUGAUGGUUAUCAAAGCCACAUGUUAUGGGGGCUUGUCUGCCUGGUACAGAUCUCUGGAGCAGUUGAGGUGGGGGGUGGGGGCACUCAACAUGGGGUUCGAUCCCCUUGCUCUUCAGGGAAGACCUCUACCCCUGUGAUAGCCCUCUCGGUUGUAAGUCGCCGUACCAUGUAACUGGUUCCCUACCACGUCUCUGCUCCUUCUUGCUUUCUCAGUGUGGCUUCUUCUUUCCCCAUGGAAGAGUCGUUCUGCUAAUUAGGUCAUUUUCCAAAUGACUUGCAUUUCACGUAGUUGCUGCCUGGGGUGUGUCUGUGGGAGGAGGUGGGAUCCUCCUCCUCUACGAUGUUCCCUGGUCAUCUCGACAUUAAGAAAAUUUUGCCUGCUGUGUUUCUUACAGGAUGUCAAGAAUACCAUCCAGAGUCUUGACCAGAUUCAGAGAGCCCGAUGUGGGACUCAGUUUCACGAAGCGCAAGAUCGUGACCUGAGACAAAAAUCAAGAGUUGGACACUCAACUGACUGAGCCACCCAGGUGCCCCUCUGAGUGGGGACUCAAUGGAAGCUCCUUGUGGGACACCCAGGACUAGGAAUAUUGAUCUGCAAUUUCAUCUAAGAGUGAGAAGGUAAGGAGCUAAUGGUUAGGCUACUGCUUCUCUAAAUGCUUUCCUCUGGCAUCAACAUAAGAAUUCCAAGUCCUGGCUCUCACAAUUUGGUUUGUUCAUUUUUCUUGAGAAGAGAUUUUUCCCUUUGGUAGAAAUGCUUGCUGCUCUUGUACUCUGCGUAUAGCAGUAAAUAUAGGGGUGAGAGCUUUCUCUAUAAAGGCCAUCAAUCACCCCAAUUUGAUCCUAUUGGUCACUAAUUCUAAACCCAAAGCCCUCUCUCUGAUUUCUGCCUGCUAAAUUUGUUCCCAUCUCCUCUGGGGCCCUUUAUAAAGUCUAAGCUGGCUGUUCCAGAAACUCUGGCCUUGUUUCUUUGCCCUUAUAGAUGCCCAUACUCCAUUUUGAGUAUGUAGGGCUUUACUUUAGAAUGAUUUUAAGAGGAGUGAAAGGGAAAUGUGUGUAGUUUGCCAUAAAUAUCAGCCUUUUAAUGACAUCCUCUAGAAAAAACCAAAAUUCUUAUUUUCAGCGAACUUAACAGUUGAUCAAUAUGAGUAUUUCCUAAAUAUGUUUGAUAUGGGUACUAAAUUUAAAACUUCCAGUUAUGAAAUUACUUACAUAGUUUUAAUUUCAUGAGAUCAUAUGUUAGUCUUUUCCUACAUUAAUUCCAUGCUUGUAAAAAGUGAUCUACAUACAGAAAUAUAUACUACCAGAAUAAAUAUUUUUCAAUCAAAACCAAUUAUUGGAUGCAAAUUAAAAAAAAAAUCAAAGUCGAUUAUAUCUUUAAUAAGGUUUCCCAUUUAAGGGAGAGCAGCUGCAUAUUCUGGAGUCAAAUCUGAAACUUCCCCAUUUUCUUGGGGGAAAAUGUUAUAAUUUAAUCCUUAGAAAUCAAAGACUUUAUGUCACAGGUAGUAUAGUCAGAUUAAAUUACCAUACCUCAGAGCCUCAGAUUAAGACUACAAUAAACUGAAUUUCAGAACAAGAACAGAAAUACUGACUUUGAUUAAAUGACUAACAUUAGUUCUGAGUUAAUGGAGGAGGAAAAAAUCUUGUCAUUAACUUAAUGCCAAAUCUUUAUAAAUUCAAGGCCAUUUUGAAAUCUCUCAGACAGUUCAAGUUAGUGAAAUAAAGGUCUUCUACCUUCUCUUAAAAAUCAUUUCAAAAUAAGGAAAAACAACCCACAAUUUUUUUGAUGAAACCAGGGGAUAUUUCUAACCCCUAGUCACAAACUAUAAAGCAGAAAGUAUAUGUUAAAAUUAUAAAUGACCUGUUUAUGUGCAAAGUGACUUCAGUGCCAUGUGCCUGCAGAGAGAGAUACUGAAGACAAGCAAACCAAUUCACCCAAGGAAGUUCUAAGAACUGAAGAUCCCAGGUACUGAGGCUGGGAUAAGGCAGGGGACUGAGUGGGGGUUGUUUUAAAAUGCGGGGUACAGAAAAGAGGGGACUCUCAGAUUAUUUUCUGCCCCCCACCCUUGGCCUGAGAGAAGGGAGGAGAGGGUAUGUGUAGUCUCUGGAGAAGCUAAAUCAGAGCCGGAACAGGAGAACAAGAAGCACAGAGGACUGCAGGGGUGAAGAUGGAGACUGAAUGCUGACUGGCUGGUGAGUUCCUCUCUCCAACCCCAUUCUGUUCCAGAACACAGGUACAUUCACGAAUCCCCACCCUGUUUUUCCAGCAGAGAUCAGAGGAUCCCUCUAUGAAGAAAAAGAACCCACCGAGAAGAUCCCCUGGCGAGGUCAGCUGGCCUGCAUGUUGAUAGGCUGUCUCCCCACAGAGAUUCCAAUGAGCUUGUUUCUUAACUUUUUAAAUAUACAGAGUAAGAAUUUCCUGACAUUUGAAGGAAGUCAUGACAGAGACUAAAAGAGGAAAAAGGCGCUCAGAGGAAAUAAAAGCAUUCUCUGGCAAACAGAAAAUAACUCAUCAUUCAUGUCUUUAGAGAGACGAGAAGAUGCAUCUGCAAAUGUACAUAGUUCCAGAGGAUGGCAGGGGGAAAAAGCUUUCAGAGAUUAAAACCAGAAGCUGAAGUUUCAUCAAAGAGGUUGAAAAAUAUUUCUGAAAGUAGGUGGAAAAACUAGAGAUAGAAAUUAGAGGGGAAAAUAUUGAGAUCAGAUUAUGAGCCUGGGAGCUCCAAAGAAAGACAGAGAGAGAGA
Molecule: long non-coding RNA, 4964 nt
Organism: Felis catus (domestic cat)
Lineage: Eukaryota; Metazoa; Chordata; Mammalia; Carnivora; Felidae
Exons: 2
Source: RefSeq, a predicted model, not a curated record